RNAcentral lists this ribosomal RNA (229 nucleotides) under uncultured bacterium. RNAcentral's name for it is "partial 16S ribosomal RNA". It matches the Rfam family "Bacterial small subunit ribosomal RNA", at positions 568 to 796 of the family's 1533-position model. The record is from RNAcentral.
CGUGUAGGCGGCUUGGCAAGUCGGAUGUGAAAUCCCGGGGCCCAACCCCGGAACUGCAUUCGAAACUGCCUGGCUAGAGUCCCGGAGAGGAAGGCGGAAUUCCCGGUGUAGAGGUGAAAUUCGUAGAUAUCGGGAGGAACACCAGUGGCGAAGGCGGUCUUCUGGACGGUGACUGACGCUGAGACGCGAAAGCGUGGGGAGCAAACAGGAUUAGAUACCCUGGUAGUCC